UUAGGGCCUAGCAAGGAUUUGCGGGUGGCCUAUAGUAAUCACUCUGUCUGUCUGUCUGUCCGUCUGUCACUCUUCCGUCCACAAAUUUUCUGUUUUUUCCUAAUAACUUUUUUUAUGGUUGCCCAAUUAAGAUCAAAUUUGGUAUGGUAGUUCAGUAGGCAGAAAGACAUAUUUUGAUGCUAAGUUUGUUUAUGUAUGUCCCCUGGUUUGGAGCUGGGUGGUGGGGUAGAUUCCUUAACUUUAUGUAAGAAUGCAUUGGCAAAGAGAGAUAACUGCAUAAGAUGUUCCCAUUGUAAACUGAAUGCUGCUAUGAGUCCCUUGAGAUUAAUUAGCUUUCCUCCUGAAGAAAAUCCAAAGCAUUAUCUUUAUCUGUCAAAUUGAGAUGAAUUACCACCUCUAUCUGCAAGUGAAGUUUGUUUUGAAGUUAAGUCAAUUUGGAAUGAUAUGAACACUCAGAUAUGUGAAUUUAAAUAUAAAUGUUCAUACUUUAUUUUUGUUAAAAUAGAGAUUCUUUCAUUGAAUUCUAAAAACAAGAAAUAGAUUAAAGAAGAUAUAUUUUUUAUUUUUACUUUUUUUUCCCUUUAUGUAAAUUCAAGAAUAUUAUUAAUUUUUAAGGUAGUUGUAUAAAAACCCCAUUCUAUCAUUAUAAAUACUGAAAAAGUUCUUAUACAUGUUAUAGUAACUUUAGAAGAAAAGGAUGAGAGAGGUACAGUUAAUCCCUUGGGAUUAAUUAUCUAGCCUGCUACAGAAAAUUUAGUAGGCUUAUCUUUAUCUGUCACUUUAAGAUUAAUGAAAACCUAAAAUUGUCUGCAAAUGCUGUUUGUUUUGAAGUUAAGGUCAAGUCUUCAUGAUAUUGGAUUCAUUGAAGGCUGGCAUUUUAUAUAACAUAAGCUUCAUUAUUGUUUAAAUAUACAUCCAAUAUUAAGUUUUUCUUUACUGCCUAAUUGAAAUACAAGGGUAUUAUUUACAGGUUUUUGAAUAUUCA
Saccostrea echinata is the source of this 985-nucleotide long non-coding RNA. RefSeq lists it as uncharacterized. Lineage: Eukaryota; Metazoa; Mollusca; Bivalvia; Ostreida; Ostreidae. The transcript is spliced from 2 exons. The record is from RefSeq and is a predicted model, not a curated record.